CUCUAUAGUCUCUCUUUCCUCUAUGUAUCUUGUCUCUAUAUCACCGUCUCCAUCCAAUCUACCCCCUUUCUAUAUUUCGACAUCGAGCUGUCUGUGAAGCUGUCGAUAGAGUACUAGCCACCACUGCCAAAGGCCAUUCCCGUUGGAGCCAUGCGAUUCUCAAGAACUAGCGUAAGCUAAGUUUGCUUUCUCGGUUGAUUGGUUCUGGUUGUCAGAAAGAGUUUUGUUAGAAUUUUAGUUGU
Molecule: long non-coding RNA, 242 nt
Filed under: Olea europaea subsp. europaea
Lineage: Eukaryota; Viridiplantae; Streptophyta; Magnoliopsida; Lamiales; Oleaceae
Source: RNAcentral